Molecule: ribosomal RNA, 452 nt
Filed under: uncultured organism
Description: partial 16S ribosomal RNA
Rfam family: Bacterial small subunit ribosomal RNA
Source: RNAcentral
ACACUCCUACGGGAGGCAGCAGUGGGGAAUAUUGCACAAUGGGCGGAAGCCUGAUGCAGCAACGCCGCGUGCGGGAUGACGGCCUUCGGGUUGUAAACCGCUUUCGCCUGUGACGAAGCGUGAGUGACGGUAAUGGGUAAAGAAGCACCGGCUAACUACGUGCCAGCAGCCGCGGUGAUACGUAGGGUGCGAGCGUUGUCCGGAUUUAUUGGGCGUAAAGGGCUCGUAGGUGGUUGAUCGCGUCGGAAGUGUAAUCUUGGGGCUUAACCCUGAGCGUGCUUUCGAUACGGGUUGACUUGAGGAAGGUAGGGGAGAAUGGAAUUCCUGGUGGAGCGGUGGAAUGCGCAGAUAUCAGGAGGAACACCAGUGGCGAAGGCGGUUCUCUGGGCCUUUCCUGACGCUGAGGAGCGAAAGCGUGGGGAGCGAACAGGCUUAGAUACCCCGGUAGUCCC